Molecule: long non-coding RNA, 245 nt
Filed under: Brassica napus (rape)
Lineage: Eukaryota; Viridiplantae; Streptophyta; Magnoliopsida; Brassicales; Brassicaceae
Description: long non-coding RNA (BNAP_LNC001434)
Source: RNAcentral
GAUUGAAAGCGUUUGCGGAUGUGGGUGAUUGCGGUUUAAAGUGCUAUUAAGAUAUUUGUACGACCGGUAUAGAGGUUAGAAAUUGGUGCGUUUUUGGGAUACUUAUGGCUUGUUAAGACCAAACGCAGCAGUGGUUAAAUAAUAAAUUAACAAUAUUUAUAUUUUAUAUAAUUACAAAAUAUUAAAAAUCAUACUAUUAUAAUAAAUAUAAAAAUUAUAUUUAUAAAUUACACUAUUAAAUAUUA